Molecule: non-coding RNA, 97 nt
Filed under: human gut metagenome
Description: THF riboswitch
Rfam family: THF (Tetrahydrofolate) riboswitch aptamer
About the family: THF riboswitch presents a pseudoknot that joins P1-P2 and the loop of P3 and two THF binding.
Source: RNAcentral
GCAGAGUAAGCGGCUGCGCGUGAAGUGCCGGGCGGACGGGGAGUUUGCCGCCGGGACGAAGGGCUUUGCCCGCGGUGCGGCCGCCGCAUCCCGCUGC